This is a non-coding RNA of Pelobates cultripes (western spadefoot toad), 238 nucleotides long. Lineage: Eukaryota; Metazoa; Chordata; Amphibia; Anura; Pelobatidae. The record is from the annotation of a GenBank genome assembly.
CCUUUCAAUAAUCACAGAUCAUUUUUACGUUUUCUUGAGUGGAUUUUGGUUAAAGGAAUAUUCCAAGCACCACAGACACUACAGCUUAGUUUAGUGUAAACGUGUUGGGAAAGUGUCCCUGUAAUCUUAAAGGGACACUAUUGUCACCGGAACAACAGCAACUUAUUGUAUUUGUUCUGGUGUGUGUAGUGUGUCACUGCAGGCUUUUUGUUGUAAUCACUGACUUUUCAGAGAAAAG